Oncorhynchus keta (chum salmon) is the source of this 618-nucleotide long non-coding RNA. RefSeq lists it as uncharacterized. Lineage: Eukaryota; Metazoa; Chordata; Actinopteri; Salmoniformes; Salmonidae. The record is from RefSeq and is a predicted model, not a curated record. The transcript has 3 exons.
CCUCCUUUCACCAUUGAGCUACCUGGAUGCAACCAACAUCUGCAUCUGUUGUUGGCCAGUCUCUGGCCUGGGACUUUAUGAGAUUCAGAUGGGGUUACAUCUUUACUCAGUACGGUGGUGGUUCUUUCUCCUUCUCCAUCUCCAAUCUCAUCGAUGGUGUGACCAAGAGGUUCAUGCAGUUACAGGCAGACAACUGAGGUUGGCUUCGACUCGGGUAUCUUUGCAAUUUCACAUGCCAUUGAGCGGACAACAGCUAACAUCAAAUGGGUGGCAGAGAACAAGAACUGUGCAGGCAUGGUUUAAAGCAGAGACUGAUGCACCAUAAUGGUCACAUGGAGACACAAACACCUGUCCAUUUAUUUAUUAUCUAAGACCAAUCCUAAAGCCAUGUUUCCUGUUAUUUUUUUGUCUCUCUAACAGUCAAUUACACUUUUUAUUCUAACGUUAUCCUGUCCCUUAAUCAGAAUACUAUGUCGGCCUAUACUUCUAUUUUUGGGGGAAAUAACUUUGUAUGAAUUAAAACAUUAUUUUUCUCUCAAAUAAUCGUCACGCAUUGGUCUUAGUAUUUUGUGUUUUCUUUAUUUAUUUGGUCAGGCCAGGGUGUGACAUGGGUUUAUU